This is an RNA transcript of Pieris brassicae (large cabbage white), 4998 nucleotides long. It is a transcript of the gene named probable phospholipid-transporting ATPase IIB, with no coding region annotated. The record is from RefSeq and is a predicted model, not a curated record. Lineage: Eukaryota; Metazoa; Arthropoda; Insecta; Lepidoptera; Pieridae. The transcript is spliced from 20 exons.
AGAGUGCUAUUGCGACUUGCGACUUUCUACUUUAUUUACGUGUAGUGGUUUUAACUACAGCUAUUUCUUGAUUCUUCGUUAGAGUAAUAGAUAUCCAAUUAAUAUUUCAUGAUUAAGUUUAUGUUUUAAAAUGUUGUAUCGUUACUGUAACUAAAGUAGAAACACAAUGGAAACUACGCCACUUAUAAAUCGACCUAAAAAGAAAUCUUUAUGGUCAAGGAAAAGCUUUGGUUGGUUUAAAGGGAAAGAACUCAACUCAAGAGUGAUAUAUUUAGGUCAGAUUCCUGAUGAAGAAUAUCCAGCAAACUAUGUAUGCAAUCAGAAAUACAGUAUAUUUACAUUCCUGCCCUUAGUUUUGUUUGAGCAGUUUAGGUUUUUCUUAAAUUUGUACUUCUUGGUUAUGGCCCUCAGUCAAUUUAUACCAAGCACUCGCAUUGGAUAUCUCUAUACGUACUGGGGACCACUUGGGUUUGUUCUUGCAGUCACACUAUUUAGAGAAGCUAUAGAUGAUUACAGAAGAUACAGACGGGACAAAGAAGUGAAUAGACAGAGAUAUGAACGUAUAGUGCUAGACACACCCAAUGAUGGCUACAAACCCUUUAUUACCGAACAUGUCUCAGCCUCUGCAUUGCGUGUUGGUGAUAUUGUUAUGUUGCACAAGGGACAGAGAGUACCUGCUGAUAUGAUAUUGUUAAGAACGAAUGAAACUAUGGGCACUGUAUUUAUACGAACAGACCAAUUGGACGGGGAGAUUGAUUGGAAACUAAGAAUUCCAUUACCAUCUACGCAAAAAUUGCCCACCGACGCGCAUUUACUAGAUAUAAAUGCUAAGAUAUUUAUUGAGAAACCAGAGAAAGACAUACACUCAUUCAUAGGCACCUGUACAAGAUUGGAUGAAGAAGAGACUGACUCUUUGGAUAUCGAGAAUACUUUAUGGAGUGGGUGUGUUGUCGCAUCUGGACAGGCCACUGGACUUGUUAUAUACACAGGAAGUGAAACCCGCAGCGUGAUGAACAACGCUGUACCUCGCUCCAAAGUUGGAAGGCUGGAACUGAGAGUUAAUGAUUUCACUAAAGUCUUAUUUGGGGCGACAUUUUUGACCUCUUUUCUUCUUAUCGCUCUGAAGGGCUUCGAUGGACCAUGGUAUGGGUUCCUGUUUAGAUUUGUGCUGCUGUUUUCUUAUAUAAUACCUAUCAGUUUAAGAGUCAACCUGGAAAUGGGUAAAGUUUUCUACUCGUGGACGAUUCAGAGGGACAAGAAAAUAAGUGGUACAGUUAUGCGGUCCACGACCAUACCGGAAGAGUUAGGGAGAAUACAGUAUCUUCUAGCGGAUAAGACUGGUACAUUGACAAAGAAUGAGAUGGUCUUUCAGAAGUUACACCUCGGUAAUGCUCUAUUCGACAAGGAUAAUUUUCAUGAGGUGGAAGCACUUUUAACCCAACAUGUGACAAAAGAUUGUCCCUCCAUAGCGUCCACCCCAAAUGGGGAUGGUUCAUUACUUUCUCCCACUCCGAGACAGGUGUGGGAGACUGUCCUGGCUUUGGCGCUGUGCCAUAACGUAACACCAGUGUAUGAAGUAGAUGACCAGACUGACGAAGGGCAAUCUGAUAUGGGUAGUUCAGUCAUGUCCGAAAGUUGCGGCGGGGCGGUACCUCAGCAGCAGCUCUGUGACUACCAGGCAGCCAGUCCGGAUGAAGUGGCCUUGGUGAAGUGGACCGAUAUGAUGGGAGUAUCCUUGUACCGUCGCGACCUCCACAACAUAUCUCUGAAGCUUCGCGCGGCCAACGAGAUCAUGUCAUUUACCAUACUCCAGGUGUUCCCCUUUACCAGCGAGUCCAAGAUGAUGGGAAUCAUUGUGCAGGAAGAAGUGUCUGGUGAGAUAACUUACUAUGUGAAGGGGGCAGAUGUGGCUCUGUCCAAGCUAUUGCAGUCUUCCUGGCUUGCCACGGAAUGCAGUAAGCUUGCUGCUGAUGGGCUCCGAACCUUGGUCGUCGCUAAACGGACUCUAACUAAGAACGAGUAUUUGGAGUUCGAGAGUGAAUACAAAGAAGCCCGUCUUACCGUAUUGAAUCGUAACGAACGUACGGCCGCGGCUUUAUCCCGCUUGCAUCGGGGCCUAACUCUUUUGGGAUUAACGGGUGUUGAAGACCGCUUAGCUGAUGACGUUCCAAGGACAUUGGCCAUGCUGAGAACGGCUGGGAUUAAGAUCUGGAUGCUAACGGGUGACAAACUAGAAACAGCACUAUGUAUCGCUCGAUCCCUUCACCUGGGUGGAGGCUCUCGAUGGAUGACGGCUACCGAGUGUCGCUCAAGAACGGAUGCUCAUCGUCUGCUUACAGCACUGCGAAGUGCUCAUGACACAGAUCUGAUACUGGAAGGGGAGACGUUGGAGGUUUGUCUUCGUUCUUACGAAGAGGAGUUUGUAGAGGUACUUCGUGAGUGUUCCGGGGUGGUCGUGGCUCGUUGUUCUCCUACGCAGAAGGCCCAAGUUGUUCGCUUGUUACGGGCCAGGGGGCUGAUUGUAGCCGCUGUGGGGGACGGUGGGAAUGACGUUGCCAUGAUUCAGGAGGCUGAUAUGGGUGUGGGUAUAGAGGGUGCUGAAGGCCGGGCAGCGUCUCUCGCAGGUGAUGUCAGCAUCCGUUGCUUUUCUUUCCUGGCAAGAUUACUCUUGGUUCACGGACGCCGAUCCGUCAUGCGUUCUGCGGCACUUUGCCUGUUUAUUGUACACAGGGGACUGAUUGUAUCAACUAUGCAGGCUGUGUUCUCCGUCGUUUUCUACUUCUCGUCAGUAUCACUAUAUCCUGGGUUUUUAAUGGUUGGCUACGGAACGGUGUUCACGAUGUUACCUGUUUUUUCGCUUGUCCUCGACAAAGACAUAUCUAGUGCGACGGCACUGCGUUAUCCACAACUCUACAAACAGUUGACAAAAGGACGGCAGCUCUCUUACAAGACUUUCUAUAUAUGGAUUGGAAUAUCUAUAUAUCAAGGCGGCGUGAUAAUGUAUGGCGCCCUAGUGCUUUUCGAAGACCAGCUCAUUCACAUAGUGGAGAUCAGCUAUACGGCCUUGAUCCUUACGGAGCUGAUUAUGGUGGCGCUGACUGUCACUACAUGGCACCACCUCAUGAUGGUAGCGGAACUGGUCAGCCUUCUCAUGUAUACUGCCACUCUGCUUAUUUUUACUACCUACUUCGAUGGUGACUUCAUUCGACAUUGGGAAUUCUGGUGGAAAGUGACAACUAUCACGUUGGUUUCGUGUCUGCCACUCUACAUCGUCAAAUAUAUGCACAGGAAGUGGCGUAUGCGUCAGUACAAAAAUAUACACAAGUAAUUUAUUAUACAAGACAACACUACAAAUGAGUGUAACUACGCUUCAGAAGUCAUAUCUCAAUGAAGUUUAACUCAGCGAAAUUUAGCAGUCAGUGAGGCACUGAAAUUCUACAAAUUCAGUGCUUAUGCGUAAUGCGUCGUAAUUUUUUAUUUAAAUUGAGUUUUUGUUUAUAUUGAGUUGAGUUACGUUUUGCUAUUAAAUAUACCUUUUUGAUCGAGAAAAUAUUCCAUUUGGAGUAGAGAACGUAAUAGUUCAUGGUAUUUUGUCUAUGCCAGUUAAUUGAUAAUAUUGUUAAUAUAUAUAAAAUUAAAACUGUAUACUAUAAAAAUUAUUACGGAAACUACCAAACCAAAUUAAAUAAAUUAUUACGCUCUCAAGUAAAAAGGUUUAACUAGAUCACUCAUCCGUCUCCUGUCACCACAAGUUGACAGAUGACAAUGGUCAAUAGUCCUAGUGUAAUAAGAGUUUUUAUGAAUAUGCUUAAAAUUAAAAUUGUAUAGAUUCUUUUGCACAAGUGUAUUUUUUAUAGCACAGCAAUUAUUUAUUCACUCUUCGCUAUCUGAUAUAACUCUGUUAGCCAUCGCGCUUAUUCAAAACAUAUAAUUCGUUUAUUAAAUAUAUUGUAUGAUUGCUCAGACCACUAUAUGGCUGAUUGCUUCUGAUACAAGCAUACAUUUUAAAAUAUUUAAAUGAUAAAAGAGAUUUUGUGUUUUCCUUAAACCGUACUACGUCCAUAUCGGACGUUUUCUGUAACCCAAUAACGCUCACAAACUAUGCUUUAAUCACUUCCUAUAUAAGUAAUUGAAUUAUUAUAUUACUUUAUUCGUUUUUAAGAUACGUUUUAUAGUUAAACAUAUUCCGUGUGUAUUUUAUAUGAAUUAUGCAACAAUGUUCAUAUUCUGGCACUAUCUCAAACUAAUCUCCAGGAUAAACAAAGUUGAAAAAGUUAAGAGAUUUGAGAUUAAUAGUCUAUUUCUUCAGUGCUGCCUAUGCCUUAGCUAAUUUUGUAUUAGUAUUUGUUUAUUAGUAUUAUCAUUGAAUGGUAAUUUUUAUAAUUCCAUAUUUAAAUUCCAUUAAAAUUAGGUAAAAUCCUCAUAUAUUAUAUUAGUUUAAACUUUUUAAAGUUUUAAAUCAUUUUAUUUUUUAUAGUUUUUUUAAUCAUAUAAUUUAUAAAGAUGUUACCAUUUUGUCAAUUUAGAGUUUAUGAAGAAUUUGGUAGCUCAGUUUACUAUGUGUUCAAAAUAGAAGUAUUUCGUCCAAGCCGUUAAUAUUUAUGAUUUACGAGGCAUGAAAUUAAAAAUUACUGUGAUUAAUAAUGUAAGAAAUAAAGAUAAGCUAGAAAAAUAAAGAUGGUUAUGGUCCAUUGACUUUUAAGAUUAUGGUACAGUAGAGUGACGUAACGCCCGCGCUCUUUCAGUGAAUUUAUAUAUGUAUUCAUAAUUGUAUGGAAGUGACGCGAAAGUCCUAUUGUAUAUUAAAAUUGUAUAUUAUGCGGUACAAAAAAUUAUGUGAUACGUUUGUUUAUUUAAAAUUAAAAAGUAUUCAUCGCACGCUGUUAGCUGAACUCAAAGACGAGGUUUUUACUUUGGAAGAGGCGCUGGCAUGUUUUGCACGGUCCAUAGUAUAGAAUAUAUUUUUGUGUGGCGGAAGCAUGGCUGGAAUGUUUGAGU